This 360-nucleotide ribosomal RNA is filed under the name Clostridioides difficile. Its description in RNAcentral is "bacterial SSU rRNA". It matches the Rfam family "Bacterial small subunit ribosomal RNA", at positions 1 to 368 of the family's 1533-position model. Lineage: Bacteria; Bacillati; Bacillota; Clostridia; Peptostreptococcales; Peptostreptococcaceae. The record is from RNAcentral.
UUUUAUUUGAGAGUUUGAUCCUGGCUCAGGAUGAACGCUGGCGGCGUGCCUAACACAUGCAAGUUGAGCGAUUUACUUCGGUAAAGAGCGGCGGACGGGUGAGUAACGCGUGGGUAACCUACCCUGUACACACGGAUAACAUACCGAAAGGUAUGCUAAUACGGGAUAAUAUAUUUGAGAGGCAUCUCUUGAAUAUCAAAGGUGAGCCAGUACAGGAUGGACCCGCGUCUGAUUAGCUAGUUGGUAAGGUAACGGCUUACCAAGGCGACGAUCAGUAGCCGACCUGAGAGGGUGAUCGGCCACAUUGGAACUGAGACACGGUCCAAACUCCUACGGGAGGCAGCAGUGGGGAAUAUUGCA